GCACACUGGCGCGCGGCGGUCCUGCCUGAGUGACUGGUGCUGAGUCGACGCUCCGCUGACCCUCAACAACUUUGUGACACUUGAGUUCGGACAUCACUUUCUGCCCUAAAGGUGUGUAAUCAGCACCAGGCAAGGACUGGCAGAGAGUGUCUAGCAGACCUUGAGGGUGACCACGUGUUGUGCGACGUGGUGAGGAAAGAGACAGGCCACCUGUAACGCAGCCAGCUGGCACUGCGUGACCUCACCACCUGGACAUUACUUGUGCCACCAGAGCGUUACCGUGACAUGUUCCUGCCUUGAUUCAAAGGAGUGCUUCGCCUCAUGACUUGACUUGCUUGAAGUUGUGUGUGUCUGUGUGUGCGAGAUUCUGUCGGUCGUGAAAAGCUACAAGGUAAUUGCACCACCUGAGGCCCACCUGUUGAGCCUCGGGUGGCCACCUGCACCACCUGCCUACCUGCGACGUGCUCACGAACUCCUGCAUCUUUCCCUUCACCUGUUACGUAACAGUAAAGAGAAAACAUGAGGGGGAGCGUUAACUAUGCAACCGCGCGCCGCCUCGUCCUCCUCCUCGUCCUCGUGGCAACUCUUCGCACACAUGGCUUGCCGGAGGGGCUGCGUCCUUGCCGGUGGUGGAGACCCGCAGAGUGGCGCUGGGAGGGGAAGGAGGAGGCACGCGUCUGAACCAAGUCCUCCUCCUCUGCCUGCCUCCUGGGGCGAGAUCUGAGGACGCGCCACCUGUGUCUACUGCAGGAGGUGGCGAGGGAGAGGUGCCUUGGGGAUGGAACUUGAUGGGCACUUUGGAUUUGCGUGGAAGACUUCUACUGGACGCCUGGGAUGUGGAUACUGAAGGAGAUGCGCCCCCCGAGGAACACCUGGCUGAGGACACCCCCAUUUGGCACCUAGAUUACCUGCACCCGAGUCUCAGCUACGACUUGGCGGGCAACCGAGUGCUGGUGUGGCUUAGAAGUGACAAAUCCUCCUUCUCCUCCUCCUCCUCUUCUUCCUCAUCCUCUUCCUCCUCCUCUGCCUCCUCUUCUUCCUCGCUCUCGUCCUCAAUUUCCUCUCCCAUCACGUCACCUCAUCCCUCUCCUCCGCCACCUCCUCCGUCAUCCCCCACUCCUCCGCCACUUCCCUCCCCCGUAGUUGUAUCUCCUCCCUCUCUCCUCUCGCCCGGUCUAUACCAUGCGACCCCCUCUGUCCAUCCUCGUAAGAGCGCUCCAAGUUUGCCUGUCGCUUCUCAUCUCUCCAUCACUUCUAUAUUUUUCCCGACCACCGCCGCCUUCCACCCAACCUCACGCCCCACUACUCUCUCCAUCUCCUCACUACCACCUCCUCCAUCUUCCUUCCUCCACCAUCGCUUCCACGCCCCCUCAACACCCCCACCUACCUUGAAGACUCCAUCCAAACCAUCCUCACCAUCUACACCACCCUCCUUGCCUUCCAUCACCAGCCCGUCACAGCCGCCGCCACCACGCAGCCUCCGUCACCUGUCAUCACCUCAACGUCAGUCCAACUCAAGGCUCUUGGCAGUUCUACGAUGUGCUUCUCCGUCAAGGCCCUCCAGUAGCCCACACCGCCUCGCCUCCUCCGUCGUCCACGUCCUGGAAGAGUGCGAGGCAGCGGGAGAGACACGCGGGAAGACCAGCCUCUCAAUCCUAUGCCUCAAACACCUCCCAUCACCACCACCACCACCAUCGCCACAGUCACCACCACCACUAUCGCGGAAACUCCCCUACCAACCCCAGCCACCACUCCUGCAAGCUGCCCAGCCCCGCCACACACAGCCGGAGCCAAGCAGACACCCUUUUCUCCGCCUCACAACAGAGUCCACGCGAACAACUGGCCAGAGCACGUUCAAGCAGCGUCACAGCAGCCCUUCAGUGAUAGGGACGCCUCUCUCAGGAGGUAACUCGCCGCCAGAAACAGUUGCAGACGACACCAGCGUCAGUAUGGAUCAGGAAAAUGUAAACGUAAUAUCUGAAAACGUCAGGGAAGAUGAUAGAACACUAGACGGUGACACAGCUGUCCAGGAGGCUGAGUCCUCUGCCAGCAGCGAGGCGACAGUUGGAGGAGACGCGGAGGCGGCGGCGGGAAGGGAAGGCACCGAAUCCGCCACGUCACCCGACAACACGAGAUGGGAUGAGAGUGUCAUUGGAGGACACCAGCACGCCUUGGACGGCCAGGAGUGGUUCUCUGAGGAAGACGAGGUGGGCGUGAGGACCAUUGUUGGGCUGCGGCGCGCCUCCAGGGACCUCGGCCUCAACCCUUACCAGCGCCAAGAGUCUGCCCCACAGCUUCGCUACACGCCCAUCGAUCAGACAGUGUCCCCUGGGGCGCCCGUGUCCCUCAAGUGCUCGGCUGUGGGCUCGCCCCUGCCUGUGAUCACCUGGACCCGCGACCAGCAGCCCCUGCCGCCCUCCCACCGGACCAGCGUGGGCAGCUUCCGCACCGCGCUGGGGCAGGUGGUGAGCCACGUGAACUUAAGUGACGUGACGGUGCGGGAGGGCGGCAUCUACACUUGCACCGCGCACAACGCCCAUGGUGCCCAGGCACACACCGCCCGCCUCAAUGUGUACGGUCCUCCCUUCGUGCGCGCCAUGCCCAACGUGACCGCCGUGGCGGGGGAGGACGUGCGGCUGUGGUGCCCAGCGGGCGGGUAUCCGGUGCCCGCCGUCUCCUGGAGGAGGGAGGGGCGCUCCCUCCCCUCCUCCAUCAGGCAAGAAGUGCUGAGCAACGGUACGCUGCUGGUGCGGACGGCGAACCACGAGGACGCCGGCCGCUACUCCUGCGUGGUGACGGGACGGCAGGGCCAGACGGCCGCCUCGCACACCUUCCUGCACGUCCUCAAGCCUCCUGCCAUUGAGCCCUUUAGAUUCCGGCCCAACCUGAAGGAGGGGGAGCGGACACAACUCACCUGCGUCGUUAAUUCUGGUGAUCUGCCCAUGACGAUUAAUUGGCUCAAGGACGGACGACACCUGCAGCACGACCCAGACAUUGACCGAAAGCAGAUCCACGAGUACUCCACGGUCCUGUGGUUCAAAAAGCUGCGGGAACACCACUCGGGCUCCUACACUUGCGAGGCGGCCAAUGCAGCAGCCACGGCCAACCACACAGCGUCUAUCAAAGUGAAGGUGUCGCCGCGGUGGGUGGUGGAGCCAGCGGGAGGCACGGCGCUGGUGGGCUCCACGGUGGUACUAGAUUGCAGUGCUCGAGGCCACCCGCAGCCCGUCAUUACCUGGAUGAAGGCGUCAGGCAAGGCUGCACAGGAUUUCCAGCCGAUGGUGGUGGACGGGCUCAGGUCCUCCCAGGCAGCCAACGGGUCCCUGGUGCUGCAUAAGGUGUCCCGCAACCACGCCGGCUGGUACCAGUGCCGCGCCGAUAACACAGUGGGCACCCCGCUGGCCGAGAUGGUGCAGCUCACAGUCUACGCCCCGGCCCGCGUGGUGACAGAGGGAGGGCGAGUGACGGGACACGCCGGCCAGGUGGUGACUGUGGCGUGUGAGGCAACAGGUGACGACCCUCUCACAGUCACCUGGCUAAGGCACCACGCGCCUCUCUCACCAGGACACAGGGUGACGGUGAGUGAGAGCAGCGUGGGAGGCGCCGUGAGAGCAAUGCUGGAAGUGAGGGAGGUGACAGCAGCUGACGCCGGCCCGUACACCUGCCGCGCCACCAAUCCUCACGGGGAGCACUCCCAGGUGUUCACUAUCGCCAUCAUAGAGCCUCCCCGCGCCCCUGUGGGAGUGGAGGUGACGCAGGUAGGGAGCAGGUCGGCCCACCUCGCCUGGAGCCUCCCCCAGCCAGCCGCCGUCACCAUCCAGUACAAAGCGGCAGAGGGAGAAGCUUGGGCGUCGCACGGACGUAACGUGAGCGUGGGUCAGUGGGCGGCAUCACACGUACUGACGGGCCUCUCCCCGCACCUCACCUACGCCGUCAGGCUGAUGGCACACAACGACCUGGGUGUGUCGCUGCCCUCACCCACGCAACUCUUCACCACCUCCGAGGAGGCGCCUUCCGGGGCCCCAAGGGACGUGAGAGUAGCGGCAGGGGGCCCACGCUCCUUGCUUGUCACCUGGCGGGCCCCAGACCCCCGCCUCACCCACGGGACCCUCAGAGGCUACACGCUCGCCCUGCGCCGCCAGAACCUACAGGGCCACUUCACUUUCAUCACCAGGCCCGUCACCGCUGUCCUCGGUGACGUUGAGGCCGUGGAGCAGUACGAGGUGCGUGGCCUGGUGCCGGCGUCCCUGUACGAGGUGGCGGUGCGGGCCUUCACCAGGGCGGGGCCGGGGCCACUCUCUUCCCCGAGGAUCGUCGACUCCACCUCCCAUGACGCCCCGUCGUGUCCUCCCUCCGGAGUGUCGUGCCGUGGGUCAGGACGAGGAGGAGUAAGAGUGUGGUGGUCGCCGCCGCCCACACAUUGCGCCCACGCUCCCGUCAGCGGCUACACCGUCAUCGCCACACCCACGCAGCACGUUCACCACUCCUCAGGCAGCAGCGCGUGGGAGGUGAACACAACCAACCUGGAGAAGAAUCUGGACUCCCUGCCGCCCGCCACCAACAUCAGCGUGAGGGUGAAGGCUUUCAAUGAGGUGGGCUUCUCCCCGCCCAGCCGACCUGUCUUCUGCGUCACUGAGGAUGAUGUGCCCGGACCACCGAGACACCUGCGCGUGGUAGUGACGGGACCCUCCAGCCUUCUCGUCACCUGGUCUCCGCCUUGGCCCCACACUGGCGUCAUUCUGCACUACACUCUCUACUCCUCCAGGGACGACCAGGUUGAGAUGAGGGAUCUGGUGGGCGCCGGCGGGUCGGAGGCCACUUGGCGGGAGCUAAGCGGCCUGACGGAAGCCUCCAGGAUCCAGGUGUGGGUGACAGCGACCACUGUGGCGGGGGAAGGCAGCCAGUCUCCGCGGCUCACGGAAAUACCCAAGCCUACGCCUUCCUACGCCCCUAUUGUUGUGGGCGGUGGAGGACGCAAGUGGCGUGUGGGCGUGGGAUCAGGGGUGACUUUAGGCUGUCGGGGACUGGGCACACCCGCACCCACAGUGUCCUGGACUAAGGGUGGAACCACCCUCAGCAGUGGCCCCCUCACGCAGCUCCUUCCUGGCGGGGACCUCCACCUCACGGCCGUGCAGGAUUCCGACAACUACACGUGCUGGGCGAGAAGCAGCGCUGGCGUAGACAACCUCACCCAUCAAGUGGUGGCCCUCACGCCCCCUGAAGCACCCAACCUCUCUCUCUCCCACGCCUCCCACCACGCUCUCAACUUAACCGUCAUGCCAGCGGCUGACGGCGGUGCCCCUAUACUGGGUUACACCCUUCACCACCGAGGCCGCGCAGGGGAGUGGGUGGAGACACCCGGGGAUCCGGCUGGGCGGAGCGUGAUGGUAAGGGGCUUGGCGUGCGGGGCGUCUCACCAUCUCUAUCUCACCGCCUGGAAUACUCACGGCACCUCGGCUCCCAGCCCCGUCCUGGACACCAGCACCCUGGGCAGCCCGCCGGGCCGGCCCAACCCUGCCUCGCUGGUGGAGGUGAACGCCACAUGCGUCACGCUGCGGCUGUACGUGUGGCCUGAGCACGGCUGUCCCAUCACCCACUGGAAGGUGGAGCGCGGCAAUGAGUUGAGCGGCUCCUCAUGGACCACUCUGCACGCCCGCGUCACGCGAGACACGGGCGACCUGGGCCUGUGUGACCUGCACUCAGGCUCCUGGCACCUCCUCAGGGUGACGGCAGCCUCCACCGCCGGGGACACGUCGGUGCUGUACCGCGUGGCUACGAGGGACACUAACGGGGGAACCAUCGCCGCCCAGCCAGUGCAGGAGGUGUCGGUGAGCCGCGGAGGGGGAGCAGAGGCGUGGCUGGACGCACACGUGGUGGCGGGGGUGGUGAGCGCCGUCCUAUUAGCCGCGGCCCUGGUCAUCUGCGUGUGUGUGGCGGUGAGGCGGCAGCGGUACGGAGGCUACAGGCAAGGCGGCAGUUUGGACACCAAGGGCGGGGGCGGUGAGGACGACAACGCCCGUAACUCCGAGCUGACCCGCGCCCACCUGUACUCCCCGACACCCACCAAGAAGCCCCGCGGGUCCCUUGCAUCCCUCAAGACCCAGGACGACACCUCGGACCCCUACGAGAUCUGUCCCUACGCCACCUUCAGCGUGGGGAGCUCGGAAGGUACUCUAGAGUACGGUCUGUCCCUUCACACCCUCACCCCGCGGGACUGCCUCGACACCCCCGACACCUACAGCGACCGCCACCCGCAGCAGUCCCCCACGUACGGCCAGGUGGGGCGCCAGCGGCCUCAGUCACAUUUCAAGGAGACGGAGAUCGCCUACAUUAGCAGUCGAGGGCGCGCAGAGUAUGCAAGUCGCCCUAAGUCACUGCCGGGCGCCGCUCCUCAGUCGGGGAUAGAAGUUGCUCAGGCACCGACGGGAGGCAAGUGGCCUGAUGACGCACGGAAGGACACCACAGGCAGCCGUCCACACCGCUCCAGAAGCCGCUCUAGAGGUGACAUGCCAAAGAGAGACUCCAGCACUGAGAGCAAUGAUGCCUCCUCGCCCGUCCCUCAGCUGCCUCACUACCAGCACCCACAGACUCAACAGCACCGGCACUUCAUCCAGCAGCAGCAGCAACCUCAGCCUCAGCAGCAGGGCGCGGCAGGGGGCGGCGCGGGGGGUAGAGUUGGCCCCCACCCUCUGCCGCCUGUCCGCCAUGCCAGAGCACCCAGUGAGUCUUCCUCCAGCGACAUGUCUCCCCUCACGCCCCCGCGCCCCCUCCACCCUCCCUCCGCAUUCUCCGACUCCAGGGAGAUGUCUGAGGCGGAGUGCGACAGGGAGCUGCGACAGGGCGGCACGGGAGGGACGGGGGUAGCCGGGCAGCGGGCGAGAGGGAGGGCGAAUGGCGGGAAGACAGCAGCGAGUAGUAACAAUAACAAUAACGUAGCGAAUGAGUUACUUAUGAUGCUGAGUCAGUAUGAACAGCAGCAGCAGCAGCAGGAGCAGCAGCAGCAGCAGCAACAACACAGUGCACCCCAGAAGCCGCCGCAGAAGGUGACCACGAAUGCGUCAACGGCGAAGGUUCCGUACAGCAUCAACGUUUAGUGUCACAGCUUCGUGCAAAUACAAAAAAAAAAAUGGUCUGUCUAGUGUGCCAGGAGAGAAACUCGCCACCGACACUAAGAAAAAAUAAAACUAAACAAAAAAAAAUAGAGAGAAAAGAUGUAAUAUAAACCAAACAAACCGAUGACUCAAGUGAUCAAUGUUGUGUUAUGAAUGUGUCAAGUCUAUACGCCACAGUUUUACGUUACUUUUUGUUCCCGUUUUCUUUUUCACCGCCCUUCCUGCUCCUAAGUCAGUGUCACUCUGCGUGUGCCGUGCCCGCCGCUGUGUUCGUCUGGCCGUGCUGUGUCCCGUGGCGCCCUAGAUGGGAGGGAACCCGGAUAUGUAUGUGUAGAGUUAAGCAAGAUCCCACCUCCACCUCUUGACCCUCUUCCAACCUUAUCCUCUGGCAAUACCGAGCCUCUCCACCCAUCACCACUGCAUGCACGGACAGGAACCCACGAACCCAGGAACCAACACGCUCAGCACCUUACCUCAGGAACACCAAGGGAGAGGAAG
This is an RNA transcript of Portunus trituberculatus (swimming crab), 7610 nucleotides long. It is a transcript of the gene named Down syndrome cell adhesion molecule-like protein Dscam2, with no coding region annotated. NCBI's taxonomy places the organism in Eukaryota, Metazoa, Arthropoda, Malacostraca, Decapoda, Portunidae. The transcript is spliced from 35 exons. The record is from RefSeq and is a predicted model, not a curated record.